UCCCUGGUGGCUCAGACGGUAAAGCGUCUGCCUACAAUGCGGGAGACCCGGGUUUGAUCCCUGGGUCGGGAA
This 72-nucleotide transfer RNA is filed under the name Muntiacus reevesi (Reeves' muntjac). It matches the Rfam family "tRNA". Rfam says of the family: Transfer RNA (tRNA) molecules are approximately 80 nucleotides in length. Their secondary structure includes four short double-helical elements and three loops (D, anti-codon, and T loops). RNAcentral also lists the same sequence under 5 other names. The record is from Rfam by way of RNAcentral. Lineage: Eukaryota; Metazoa; Chordata; Mammalia; Artiodactyla; Cervidae.